AACUAGGAUUAGAUACCCUAUUAUAUUUAAAUGAAAUAGGUAGUACUUAUAUUUUAGAAAACCUAUGCAAUUUGGCGGCAUUAAUUCAUAUUAGAGGAACCUGUCUUUUAAUCGAUACCCCACGAUAAUUCUUACUUUUACUCACAUUUUAUAUACCUCCAUCUUAAGUGUUGAUAAUUAUACCUACCCUAAAUAGAUAUUUAAAAAGUUAGGUAAAGGUGUAGACUAUGUAAAAGAAAAGGUGGGUUACUAUAAAUUUUAUUUAAGGAACUCUCUUUAAAAUUUUUAGUAAAAAAGGAUUUAUUAGUAAUUAGAGAAUAUUAUUCUUUAUUGAAAUUGAUAAACAAUGUGUACACAUCGCCCGUCGCUC
Molecule: ribosomal RNA, 370 nt
Filed under: Actinosoma pentacanthum
Lineage: Eukaryota; Metazoa; Arthropoda; Arachnida; Araneae; Araneidae
Description: partial small subunit ribosomal RNA
Source: RNAcentral